RNAcentral lists this ribosomal RNA (693 nucleotides) under bacterium SVAL2.32. RNAcentral's name for it is "bacterial SSU rRNA". It matches the Rfam family "Bacterial small subunit ribosomal RNA", at positions 56 to 796 of the family's 1533-position model. The record is from RNAcentral.
UGCAGUCGAGCGAGACCUUCGGGUCUAGCGGCGGACGGGUUAGUAACGCGUGGGAAUAUACCCUUCACUACGGAAUAGCCUCGGGAAACUGGGAGUAAUACCGUAUACGCCCUUUUGGGGAAAGAUUUAUCGGUGAAGGAUUAGCCCGCGUCUGAUUAGAUAGUUGGUGGGGUAAUGGCCUACCAAGUCUACGAUCAGUAGCUGGUUUGAGAGGAUGAUCAGCAACACUGGGACUGAGACACGGCCCAGACUCCUACGGGAGGCAGCAGUGGGGAAUCUUAGACAAUGGGCGCAAGCCUGAUCUAGCCAUGCCGCGUGAGUGACGAAGGCCUUAGGGUCGUAAAGCUCUUUCGCCAGAGAUGAUAAUGACAGUAUCUGGUAAAGAAACCCCGGCUAACUCCGUGCCAGCAGCCGCGGUAAUACGGAGGGGGUUAGCGUUGUUCGGAAUUACUGGGCGUAAAGCGCACGUAGGCGGAUUGGAAAGUAUGGGGUGAAAUCCCAGGGCUCAACCCUGGAACUGCCUUGUAAACUCCCAGUCUAGAGUUCGAGAGAGGUGAGUGGAAUUCCAAGUGUAGAGGUGAAAUUCGUAGAUAUUUGGAGGAACACCAGUGGCGAAGGCGGCUCACUGGCUCGAUACUGACGCUGAGGUGCGAAAGUGUGGGGAGCAAACAGGAUUAGAUACCCUGGUAGUCC